UAAAUUGAGAGUUUGAUCCUGGCUCAGGACGAACGCUGGCGGCGUGCCUAACACAUGCAAGUCGAGCGAUGAAA
This 74-nucleotide ribosomal RNA is filed under the name Clostridium tagluense. RNAcentral describes it as "partial 16S ribosomal RNA". It matches the Rfam family "Bacterial small subunit ribosomal RNA", at positions 1 to 74 of the family's 1533-position model. Lineage: Bacteria; Bacillati; Bacillota; Clostridia; Eubacteriales; Clostridiaceae. RNAcentral also lists the same sequence under 1 other name. The record is from RNAcentral.